Molecule: non-coding RNA, 12082 nt
Organism: Coturnix japonica (Japanese quail)
Lineage: Eukaryota; Metazoa; Chordata; Aves; Galliformes; Phasianidae
Source: RefSeq, a predicted model, not a curated record
AGCUGCAGGACAGAUUAAAAAAAGCAAGUAUCACUGGCAUUUAAUAUCUCUAAUCCAGCAGUAAGACAAGCCUGCCGACUGUUUGCUUAAUGUUCAACAUCCCUUUCUGAUUAAGCAAAAGGUUUGAAGUGAUUAUAGUUUAUUUACAACAAAAGUGGGCUUAAAUGAGAGUUAAUUCCUCCCCCUCCUCCCUCAUCGGGCCCUUUGCCAGUUGCCAUGUGUCUGCUCAGCUCCCUUUAGCAGAGCACCCGCAGAAGCCAGGGCAGGUGUUCCCAUUGGGAAGGGCUUCUCCCCAAGUGAUGCCCAUCUGGGGGUUCCAGUUCUGACCCUCCCCCCCCCCCAAGUACCUGCAUGUACAAAGGGAAAUGCUGCAGCUGAAUAAAAACAAAACAGUAAAAAUCCAGAGGAGCAGCAUUUAGGGGCUGAUUUCCCAUCCCACACCUGGGACUGUCUGACAUUGCCUGGAUCUGGAGGAACAGCAGCUCCCUCCCAGGGGUGAAAUAAGAGAAUUAUCCCGAUCUGUAAUGGCACAUUGGGCUCAGGGUUCCGGGUCCCCAUGCUGCUGGAUGCUUUGCAGCCUCCAGCCAGCUCGGUGUGAGCAGGUGAUGCUGUGAGGAAGAGGAGGCAGGGAAGCAGCACAGGGGACCUCGGUGCUUUCCUCCUCAAAGGGGCAGGUUGGGAAUCUGUUGCUUCGGGGACAAUCUGCAGAGCAGAGGGGUCAGGGCAGAGGACAGCAGUGCUGCCCAUGGACUGCAGCUCUGCACAAGAGCAGCUGGAGACCUUUGCUAUCCCAAUCAGAUAACUCAUCAUUCCGGGUGCCAAGAGCCAUCUGUGCCACUUGCAAGGCAUCAUCUCUCUGUUAAUUGGAAGUAAUUUUCCUAUAAAAAUAUAAAAUUGCUUCUGCAAACAAAACGUUAGGCACGCGCUGCACGCUGAAGUGGUGAAAUACUGUGAGGGGUCGGGAGCUGGAGGCAGAGCUCUGCUCUAGACAGGGAUUCACUUCCCAGCAGUGUGGGCAGCUCAGUGCACACAAUGCAGCUGGCGGGAGCCCGAGGGGAAGCUCGCCGACAUUGCCCAUAUUACUACCUACGGGAUCAAUGGAGGCCCCAGCUCUCACCGGCAGGGAGUGCAAGAAAGAAAGGCACAAAAGCUGUGGAGAGUGAAUAAACUCAAUUAGAUCGCUGUAAUUGCAACAAGAAUUAGUGUGGGGGUCGGGCACAUGUGCCGUCUCGGAGCAGUAAUUAAAAGUGCAGUGUUUGCCAUGCUGGGGAGGUGGCCUGCUGGGUCCCAGCAGUGCCCUUUGAAAAGCUCCACGAUGGAGCUUCGGGGCUGGAUAAAUACAAAUGUCAGUGCCUCGCAGCCCAUGGGGGGACUCUCAAUCCACAGCCCAGUGGGAGAAUCCCCUGCUUUACAUUCCCAACAGUUGGGCUAAUUUCAGAGUCAGGCUUUGAUGUGCUUUGGGGAGCCCUGUGUGCUACACACUUUCCCAGCGAGGCACCCCCUCCCUUUCUCAAAUGCUUUAUUAAUUUUCUCCUGUGGUUUUUUUUAUCCUCCCUUUCUCUUGGGCCUGCCUGCAACUUCUCUUUUGUGCUCAAACAGCGGGGCUCGUAGCCGAGAAUUUAUAUCAUUCUGAAAUAUAUAUAAAGAGGGGAUAAAAGAGAAGAUGUAGGAACCUGCGGAGAUUUCUGCAAUUAUCCACCCUGGGAGCCGGGGUCUUCUUCCUCCUGCAGCUCACUGUGCAGCCUUCCCUUGUCCUCCCUCAUCUCCCCCAUCAGCAGGGAGCUGGGGCUGGCUGGUACCCAGGAGACAGCAAUGGUAACAUAGGGUUGUUAGAGCCUCAUGAAGGGCUGGUGACCACCCCUAAGGGGAGCAGAGCCAACAAGGUGGAUGCAGCAUCCUUAGGCUGCUGACAGUGCAGGUAGUGGGCAUUUAGGGAGCAGCACAGCUGAUGCACCAAGGCAUUGCAUGCCCAACGCUGCACCCUGCCCACAUCAGUCCACUGUGGUCCUCUUCCCACAGCUGGUGCUCCCCAGGAGCAGCUCAUGCAUACAAGAUGCUACAGCUGUAAGGAGCAUUGCUGCAGCCUCACGAUGCUCAACAGACUCGGGGUUGAAGCUCCCCAGGAUGCCCCAGCCUUCUUCUCUCUUUCCCCCACAUCCCACCCCGCUGCUGGGCAAUGGCGACAUCCACAUGCCGCAGCGAACAGCCCAAUGCUGCUCGGCUUUUGCUAAGCUGGCAUUCAGCUCCUUUCCUGUUUCUUAUUAUCAACUGAAUUUGGCAUGGAGGGGAUUCUCUCCCCACAUCCCGUUGGCACACAAAAGGCUCAAAAACCAGCAAAACCAUUGUUUGUACUUGAAGGGCGGGGACCAGGGUGAAAAGAACAGCAUGUUUUAGAGCCCAGAGCUAGGAACCAUUAGAGCAUCUGGAACAGUUAGUGGGACAGGGGCGUUACAAUUAAAUAAAAAUGGGUGAUUACAGAGCUGUUCCCUCGUUCUGACAUACACAAGGGAAGCAGCGGCACAUGCCUGAGCAUGCAGUUAAGGGGAUUCCUCUCCUACAGACCCGGAAUAAAUGGGGUUUUCAUCAGGGAAGUUUGAGGUCGGUAUGAGAGCCUUAUGAGGGAUUGAGGACCGCUGCUGCUUAUUGCCAGGACACCAUGUAGAGGCGUUUCUCACUGCAGGAGGGUGCAGGGAAAGGAGCCACAUUCCUCACAGCCGGGGCCCCCAGCAGCACGUGGGAGCUGUGCUUUGUGGCUGCCGGGUUCCCCAACCCCUCAGAGAGCACAGGGUGCUCAGCCUGGUUGUCAGCUUGCAGCUGGGAUGGAGCUUCCCCACUAGAACUUUAGCUUUCUCUUUUAACAAGUCCCUUAGGAGCUCUCAUGCCCCAUCCCUCCAGUUCCUGCUAUUCAGAGGAUUGGACAGCUCAGCUUUCACAAAGAUAUACAUGUCCUGCAGAAAGAAAUCCUACUGUUUGAGGACCUCAGUCCCGUCCCUUAAAAUGUGCUGUUUUCAUUAAAGCGGUGAAAUCGGAUUUCAAAAACAAAACAACAAAAAAACAACCAACCAACACACACAAAAAAAGCCAGGAUUUGGAUAGCGGCCCUUGAUUUGGGCCUGAUGAACAAGAUCCAGAAGCAAAACAAAGGCUGUUUCCACAAUGGUUGGAGGGAAAGGGAAUCGGUCCAAUUGCAAAACUUGGAUCCUGGCACCGAGGGAGUCUUUGUGUGCAAGACCUGUGGCAAUGGAUGGCAAUGACUUCGGGAAAUUCAAUACUCACCCAGCUCAUAAACAGAAAACAAGGAAAAUAAACUUGGGCAGAUGGGAGGAAGCGGAGAGCCAAAGCCAUGGAUUUCUGCUAGAUUGGAUAUGGGCCACUCCAUCCUGGUCAGUGGGAUGGGGCUGUAGGACACUGAAUGGGGCCGCAGUCACAGUGGGCUGUUAUGGGGGGUCAUGGCCAUCCCCCAUAUAUAGAGUGCCUGCAGGUUGAAGGUUGCUCCUCUUUAUGUUCAGUUCCUCACCGUAUUCACUGCAUGGGGAAAGACCUGCCAUCACAGCACACACUGAACAUAGGUGAUGGCUGAGGAUGCGACGUGAGCUGCGAUGAGAUGGAGGCAGCAAUGAAAGGUUCAGUGAACAGAAUGACUUUGGAAAGGAAGGUUUUGAGAAACAGAAAGGAUGACUCCAUAAAGCCUCAAAGCCACUGCCUGAUGGCGCUGCCUCACUCUGAAACAUAAGAACUGACUGUUCUCUUCUGGCCACAGACAAGAGGAAUCAGUAUUUAGACCAUUUAUGGGCCAGAGCGGGUCAGCGGAGAUAUGAAAUCUGUGGGAUCAUUGAAUUCCCUCAUUGCCACAGCCCUACAUUUGCAAUUGCAGAUUGAUGAAACUCCGCACAUCCCACCAGCCGCUGGGCACUGCCUGCAAGCACGUGGCAAGGGCAGAACUACCCACCUUCCUGAGCCACACCAGGCAUUGGGACACCAGGAACCAACCCAGAUCCGGGGCUGGAAGCCACAAUCAUUGCAGAGCCUGAAUGUGCACCUCCCCCCAGUGAGCUGCCACAGAAGCAGUUUGCGUGUAGGGAAAGCCUAUGGUAUUUUUAUGUCCUGACAGAUUUUCAUUCUUUUGGCACAGAAAGAGAAACAGCGUCCUCCCCUCAAAUUAGGCAACUAUCAUUGUUUAUUUCAAAGUUUAGAACUACUGGCUCAUAAAAACAAAGCAAUUGAGAGCGGGGAGUGCUGCGAGAUGACAUGGUUGCUGCUGGUAGCAGUAAGGAGCUGGGACUGAUGCCAUCCAGUGCCCAUCAUGGGGUCCCUCCACUCAUGAAUGUCCCAAACUGGGGUCUGCAUGGCCACCUCCUGCAUGGCAGCAAGGACUGCUGCCAUGUCCAUGACCAAGGAUGUAAUAUGGACUUCCUUCUCCAUUGCACUAAGCAAAGCUCACCCCAGCUCAGCUUCCUUGGUGUUCUGCUCACCCUUAGCCAUCUGGAUAGGACCCCCAGAGCUCUGCCCUCCAGCAGCCACACAGGAGAUGCCCAAUUUCUGUUCAUGAUCAUCGUGAGUGUGCAACCCCACCAUCUUCAGCACUUGGCUGGCCCUAGAGUGAAGGCAUGAUGCCAUGAUGAAGCCUUUGCCUGUUCGAACCAGGCAAAUUAGACUAAAGAAAUCCAAGCCAGCCACCUACUGCUCCUCCUAGGAAAUUCAUAGAAGCAUCUUUGGUCUGACCUUCAUUUCUGACCAAAAGAAAAAAAGAAAAAGGCAUAAGAAAUACUAGUAAUAAAAUACAGUGGAUACUUUGUUGGAGGAAAAAUCAUCAAUCAGCAUGAGAAGCACACUCGAAGCGGUAUUUUAGAAGAAUAUGUCAGAUACACUGGCCAACCAUUAAAUUUCACAGGUUCAGUUUAAGAACUUCAGGAGAUUGCUGGCAUUGCCUGAAAGGGAGAGGAAAAUUACAAACACAUGCUUGGAGCUCCGAGCGAGAUGCAGAAAUCUGGAGGAUAAUCCUUAUUGCUAUUUGAGAUAGAGCCCACGAGCCACAAUAAAGAAUUCCAUUCACCUGCCUGCAGAACGGCUAACUAGAAUCCUUAAUGCCAGCCAGAUUAAAAACAUUUCUUUCGGGUGAGCAGACCUGAUGGUUUAUGAGGACUGUGGGUUUCUCCGACCUCAGCUGGCCUUCUGCAGCCCGCCAGCCGCUCUCCUCUUGCACCACUAGUCUGCAAUGUUGCAUUAUCGAUCCGAGGGAUGGCUGUGGGGAGAGGUGUGCUGAGGAUGGACAUCUCCCACUGCUGGGGAGGGGGAUGCUCGGGGGGAACAGCAGUGAUGCUCUGUGCUGUGGGAUGUGGAGAUGGAAGCAUGGUGCUUUUGGAAAACAAUGGGCAGAGGGAUGUGGGACCCUGUGUGGAUGGGGGCAUGCAGACAACACAGCUCCCACCCACCACAAUGGUGGGGCUGCGGGGUCAAGAUCUGCCUCCAAAACCCUCUGAGUGCCCAGGCUGUGAUGCACAGCCACAAUGCGCUCAGAGCCCAGCGGGGCUGUGUAGACACAGUGGAAAAGCCAAGGAGCUCCGUCUGCACGGGCUGCAGAGCUGGGAGCCUGAGGAUCCAAAAAGAUUGUUACUAUACUUCAGAUUAUAUAAAUAACUCCCUGAAUAAAACCACAUGUGACCACAUUCUGUUCUCCAUCCCUCAGUGCUCUGCCGACAGCGCACAGACUUUUGCAACACUUGUUUACUAGGGAGACUGUAUAUAAAGUGAAAAUAAUUUGCUCGGUCUUAUGUUUCCACUUUAAUUCUCAGUGUAUAAAAAAAACCUGUGAAUUUGCUAAUGGGCUUUGAAAAUGUAUUUUUAAAGCUAGGGCAGCUCGAGUCGGUGAGUUGUUACGAAGGAUUACAGAAGGAACAAGGUUUCUAGAGAAAUGAUUCCCUUGAGGCAAUCCGUAGCAGCUGAAGGGCCUGAUUCUUUCCAAGAAAAUAAACACACUUCUGCAUCCAAAACAAAGCCCUGUUUCAGGUAUGAAGCAAGCUUGUUUGUUCUCUAGCAUUUAUGUGCUCCCCAUCGGCGCUGGUGUUUAGUUUAAUGUGUUUGGAGGCCAAACACACACUCACAAACUCACUCUACAAAGGAAGAUUCCUUUUGCAUCUUUAAAGCACACUUUUGGACGGAGAUAAAUGGUUGUGAGCUUCGGGAACGUUAGAGCCAGAUGGUCAAUUGAGAUCGCUUUGUGCAUUUCUGUAUUUCACUCCAGAGCUGAUCUCGCAUAAAAAAUAUUUUGGUAGCUUUUGCUAUGAGUUGCAGACCUGGGAGAACCUCCUGGAGCAGAAGGAUUGGUGAACAUACCACACUGAGAGGUCACAAAUGCCCCUAUUCCCUUUACCUGGUCAUUAAAGUCAAUGUGUUUGGGGGUUUCUCCAACUUGGAGGUAACUCAGAGCUUUGGAUUUGGGGUAUUUUUAGUUAAACUCCGCAGAGUUUAUCUCUAUUUUGUGUUGAUGAACGCAGGCUGAAAAUCUCUGCAAAUGUUUGGGAUCUUUUCACCCAGCAAACAGGAACAAAGGGUUGGGAGGCAAUGAAUGAUGAUCCGAAUCGUACUUUUACAAGUUGCUUUUACAAGGUCUGCUGGGGAAAUACCACUUCUGCCUUCUGCCCUGUGCAGCUACGUGGGAUCACGUUGGAGGGAUUCCCCCCAGCUGUUUCCCUUUCCCAACACUUCCUCUGGUCUGUGAAAGGCUGAGUCCUUCCCUUGGAUGGCACUGCCUGAGGCUAAACACAAGGCAGACUCCCAGUUCAGGAAGUGAGCACUGCUGUUUCUACACUGGCUUUCCUCUUUCAGUGGUCACUUCUGUUCUGAUGUAGGGAAGGUGCAUGAUUUUCUGUCAUUGCUUUGAUGAGAAAAGGUGAUUUGCCUAUCCAUUCACCUUGAGUGAAUGGGAAAAAAGGAUUUCACUGGUUCUAUGGGAGGGAGGCUGUGGCUGGGACCAAUCAUGCCAAUGGUUAAUGGGUUUUAAAGACUGCUGACUGAAUGGAUGCAGUGAAGAACCAGCAACCAGCCCUGACUUCUAAUAACCAGCAGCCGAUGGUGGGAGGACAUAUGGAGUCAGUGUGGCUCAGCUGGAUAUAAACCCCGGAGGUGUCAGGGCAGAGGGAUAAGGAAUUGUGCUGGCAGAGGGAAGGUGGAAAAGAUGAAAUUCUGGAUGCUGGAGAAACAAACAAUGCUGCCAGCCUGGACGUGCGUGUGAGCUUCGCGUCUCUGUUCCAGCCUAAGGACCCUAAAACACUGCAUGCUCGUUGACUCACAGCUGCUGGCGUGUUUUGAAAAGGCUGUCCUGUAUUGCUGCAAAACAGCUGCUGGCUGCAUGGCUCCCAGGAGGGGCGCAGCUCCAGCAGGGAGCCAGGCUCUGAACCUUGCUUCAGGAGUGAGGGUGAGAAACAGAGGACACCAGAAACACAGAAUUUGGUUCCCAUUGGACUAUGGCAUCCUUUGGGAUCCUGAAGGAGGGGAGAGACCCUGAGGGAUGUUCCGGGCAGUGCAAAUUUCCCAGGGAACGUGGUUUAUAAAACACAUCCCACAAGGCUGCGUGGUGUCCUGGCCAGACCCAGGCUGCUCCUAUGGCUGUGCCUUCUCCUGUCCCACUUGCAAUAGAUGGUUUCCCCCCACCUCCAUAUCCUCUGUACUACCACCUUGUCCCCACCAGCUCCUGUGGCACAGGAGACACGUGGCAGCUCCACCUCUAGGCAAAUUUUGGCCACCUGAGCAGCAGUGGGCACAUAUAAACCAUGGGAAAUUACAUUGCAAAUGGUUCCACUGAGCAUAGGCAGCGGCGCUCGUAUGGAGGAGCAACGGAGAAGUUUAAACAUCUGGUUCUGUGAAUUCCUAUAUUGUAAUAAAAUAAGUCUUCCCACAGAUUUCACGUCAUCCUUGUCUGGGCAUCACUGAACUGUGAAGGGAGAAACUCUUUUUUUUGUGUGUGUGGUUUUCAGAGGAACAAAGAGACAAUAUGCAUCUGGUGAGGUGUCUUGGCAGCCUCCUGCACCCAGCCUGAAUCUUGUGCUGGCAGCGUGGCCCCAUGUCAUGGGAUGGUAACUGCUGACCCACAGCACCAAAUCAGCAGAGCCUGGAGGGGACAUGGGGUCUGUGAGGGCUGGGGAGAGCUGGGCUGCAGCCUAUGGAUACUGGGAGCAGCAGCACAGUGCAGUGCAUCAAGGCAAUGCCUGCAGCCCAAUUUUUGCCCUUGUUCAAAUGCAAGGGCAACAGGUCCAGAAAGAACCAUCGGCUCCUGCUCGCCCCUGCCUAUGUCUGCCUGGCUGUGCCCCGUCUGCAGGCAUUUCUGCCUUAUCAGUAUUACUGAUUUUUCACCCAAAUGCUCUCCAGGUUUGCUCUUUGGCACCAGAGCAGCUUGGAGCAUCUUUCAUAGGAGGGGCGGAUGGGCUGAUUCAGAUGUGAUGCUCAGCCCCAUCACCAAUGCUUUCUUUCACGUGUGGGAGGACAGCUGCUGAUUCUCCCCUAAGCUGCCAUGCAGCAGCUGCCCACAGGCUUUGUCCAGAUGUUUGCCUUGUUUGAAGAGCUUUCCUACAAGAUGGGAAUCUCCUGGAAAAGGUGGCUCAGCAGAAGAAGAGGGCACAGAAACCUGCUGGGAAAUGGGCAGCACAGAGCUCAAGCAAGCAGGAUAGCAUCAGCUUUCCAUUGAGCCCAGGGCUGCUGUCCUUCCAUGGGAGCAGACCUGGGCUCAGCUCACACACGCUCUGGGCUGUUCCCUGCACUGAUCCAAUGCUGUUUGCCUUCAGUUAUCACCUUGAGACCUUCCAUGCUGUCUGAGCAAGCUGGAUGGUGGCAGCCUGUCCUCCUUUGCCAACAGGUGACUUUCCAGCACCAACAAAAUGCACAGAGUCCCCCCUUGCUCCUCAGCUGGACAGUUUGCAGCAGUACAGCCUGUAACACAUCAUACUGCUUUGUUUAUUCAGAGGCAGGCGUGUUUAAGAGGCCCUGGGCUUAUUUUAAGUCUACCACUUACAAGCAGAAGGAAGGCCCCAAUCUGCUGAAGGCCAGCAGGGAUGUUUGGCUGCAGCCACCCCUCGCAGGUGAUUAAUGCCGAUAGGGGAACAUGAUUAUAAAUGCAAUGAACUCAGCAUUUUGAGGAGGGGAAUGUGACCCCAUUCCUCAGCCUCACCCUUCCCAAAGCCCCCCUGCUCCCUUUGCCUGGUAAAUGCCACUGAUGAGAGCAGAGAGAUCAUAACCAUCCAUCUCCAGAAGCCAUUUUUCAGUGGGACUAGAUUCCACUUAGUCCUUGGACUUACCAGUCUGUCUGGCAAAAGGGAUUUCAUUCCUUUGCUUCUUUUUGUCAGGAUGGAUUUACUGAUCCCAAACACGUUCCUCACACUUUAUUUAGGGCUUAAAACGCAUCGUUUACAUUGCGGAGCUGUCACCAGCCUGUCUGAGCUGCAGAGGCAGACAGGCAAUGCUUUUCUCUCACCCCACUGUUCUCCCUGCCAGAUGUGAGGAUAACACAUCAAGGAGAUCUCUCAAUAGACACAAUUUGCCCUUUGGGGAACUGUUGCCUGUUCCCCACCAUGUUGGGGCAGCGAGCUCAGAGUGGAUGGAUGUUGUAUGGGAAACUGGUAAUCACAGCCUGAACCUCUGAUUAAUCAGCUGAGGCAAGUGUCGGGUCAGCUGUGGGAGCACAGGUGAGGGUAAUUCAGGUGGAGCUUGACUCCACCUCUUCUAGGCCUCAUUUAAGGGCUGACCACCACUAAAGCAGCAUGUGUUGGAGAUUGCUCCUCUGUGGAGGUUGCCUCAGCAGUUUCCAGCCAGAUUGAAGGUGAGUUUUUCCUAUAGUUAACCUUUUGGAUAUUUAUCGCUAUCCUUCCUGUAUUAUUACAUCUUUGUAUUAUUUUCAGCUUACAGCGUUCUCCUCCAGCUGCAUUCCCAUGGAUGAAUGAACCUGCAGAGAAUUCCAUGCUCUCACUAAGUGACACCAGGCAAUGACUGCUGAGCAUACCAGAAUCCCCCCUCACCUUUACCACCAGGACCUGCUCUUCUGUCUCUCCAGUGCUGGAUGAAGGAGGCAAAUGGUGAACAGCAAAACGAUCUGCAGAUGUGACUUUACCAGCAGUUGUUAACAUUUAACAUUUGCCCUGCAAAUCCAAAUCACUAACUCGUGAAGCAAAAGGGAAGCCAUGCAGGCUUGGAAGGGCUGUGGGUGCUGACAUUGGCAUCCCUCAGCAGGAGCAGAUUAAAACAUGGGGGAUCUCCUUACUUGUGUAUGGUCCUCGAGUAAGAGAAACCUCUGGGUGUGCAGAAGAGGCACUGUGCCCUCUGUUACCAUCAGCACUGCCCUCCUGGGCCCUGGUCUAAGGAUGCUCUGUGUGUUCUCCUUCCAUUUGAAUGAUUCAAAUUGCUUCAGAGUGCACCAGAGCUGUGAAUUAUGUGUUCAUAGGGCAGGUGUGAGCUGCAAAUUGCCACUAAAUGACAAAACCACAAAGAUCAAACAAGGGAGACCUGAGGAUGCUGUUACACAUCCACGUGGCAAUGACAGGAUGGAACACAACCCCUGGCACUCUCUUGCCUGCUCCUUCAGAUAUUAUCACACAGACAUGGAGCUGCUCAGCAGCAGCCAGCUCGUAUUUCUAGGGAUUUCCAGUGCAGAGAGCAGAGCUUAGCACCCCAGCCCUGCUCAGGCCCUGCUGGGGUGAUGGCUCCUCUCCAAGAUGGACUUAUUUUAAGCACAUGACUGCUCUGACUUGAGAGAACCGGCUUUGCUUUUUGCCUGCUGCUCAAUGUGUGUUUACCAUUUGGCUUCUGGGGUCAGAGCUCAGUGCUCAGCACCUUGCAGUACUGCUGGGGUUCAGGGGGACAGUGCACCUUGCCUUGAUGCUCAGCCUGCUUCCAUCAGUGCCCUGUAAAUACAAAGCUCCAGCUCUCAUUACCGCUCCUCUGAGUCAGACCGUCCCCCUCUCUACAUGAGAUCCCACAGCUGCACCCCUAUCAGCAUCAACUUAACCUGAAAUUGGGACAUUCACCUUUGCUGGAGUCCACGACAUCAGUAACAUUCCAAGAUAAGGAGCAAAGCCCACUACAACCCCACAGAAAGUCCAACUGUAGGAUUAAAGACCUUUAUCUGGUAGCCAGCAUAUCCACAUACUUCUUUGGCUUAAACAAAUGUAAAGUCUGUGCAGAGCUAUCCCUUGGAUCCAUGCUUCAUAUUUCACAGCCAUCCAUCACCUCCCUGCGCUGCAUCCCUCAGAUACUUCCAGCAAAAGCAAUGAGAUAAUCUCAGUCCCAUGGGAACUGCCUUGCUGGUAUCUCUUGCAACUUAAAAGGGGAAGCAGGACCUGGCUUAAUCCCCUGCCUGUCUGUACAGAGAUGGCUUUUCUGACUCAGUCUCACCGGGGUCCAAAGAUCCCUCAAAUAAUCCUGAAAGGUUGAGAAAUGAGGUUCAGGAUACGCUGCAGAUCCGUGUCGCUGCUGGAGAAAGAAGAGAAGGUAUUACCUGAAGUUGUACAGAGCUGUAAACAAGUGGAUGAGAAGAGACGUAUAUUUUAGCUGGAUUAAUUUGCUUCCCUUUUUCCAGGGCUGUACAGACAAGUGUCACCACGGCAGAGUAAAUGAAUGAAACCACAGAGCCAUUAGCUGAAUUUUCCAGCCCGGUUGAUGUCCAGCUUGGGCUCAGGCCAGAUGUAACCAGACCUCAGAUCCAGCAGCAGACUGGUGGCUCUGGGGCUGACCCUGCUGUGCUGAGCCCCCAGCACUGGGCUCCCAUCCCCAUAGCAGCACUGGGCACUGGGCAGAGCUGCUGCCAGCAGGUGAAGGUGCUGCACUGCAUUUCCUCAGCAAGGAAGGUUGUUUGAAGUGACCUCUCUGAUGUGUUUACUCAUAGAACUGGCUUGUUCACAAAGCUGUGAUUGGAACCUAUAGUUUAUAAGUUCAUAGCAAAUGCCCUCUGGGGAUGGAAAAAAAAAAGACUGACCCAUUCGAGUUCCAUCUGUUGGGGUUUAUAACUGUUCUCCUUAUAAUUGUCAACAGACAAUGUGAAUUGCAAUUAGCUAAUUGCUUGCUAACUUUCCGUUCUAAUAAUAGUCAUGUUCCAGAGUUA